Molecule: transfer-messenger RNA, 378 nt
Filed under: Aliiroseovarius crassostreae
Lineage: Bacteria; Pseudomonadati; Pseudomonadota; Alphaproteobacteria; Rhodobacterales; Paracoccaceae
Rfam family: Alphaproteobacteria transfer-messenger RNA
About the family: Bacterial tmRNA, also known as 10Sa RNA or SsrA, is named for its dual tRNA and mRNA-like properties. Its role is to liberate the mRNA from a stalled ribosome.
Source: RNAcentral
CCCCUUUUCAAUUCCGUCCGCACCCCUUACAUAUGAUCUGUCCCCUCGGGGACUAUGGACAUAAACGCGCUCGUAAUAAGCGGAUCGGACCCGGGGGCGGUACCCGGCGCCUCCACCAUAACACACUCAGGGGCAUCCUUCGUUUGGGGAACACCUUGAUAUCGUGGGGGCGAAAUAGGAUCGACGGACGUCUAAAGGGGUUAGCUUUGUUUCGGUGAGAUACCACCGUUAUCGGUUCACUUAAGCUAGUUGCAAACGACAACAAAGCUCCGGCAAUGGCUCUGGCUGCGUAAGCAGUUCGGGUCGCCGAAACUUAAGUCCUUAUGCCUAGCCGCGUAAGGCGGGGUUCGCAGGUACCUGGCAACAGAAACCUGCACU